Long non-coding RNA from Drosophila nasuta, 1049 nucleotides. RefSeq lists it as uncharacterized. The transcript has 7 exons. The record is from RefSeq and is a predicted model, not a curated record. Lineage: Eukaryota; Metazoa; Arthropoda; Insecta; Diptera; Drosophilidae.
CGUUUCGUGCCGUUUCGUGUCUCGUUCGUGCCUAAGUCGUGAGUCAUACGUUCGUUUUCGUGAUUCAUAGUUCGCUUUCGUGCUUUCUUCGUGCCUUAAUCGUUUCAUCGUUAAAUCGCGUCCAUCGUCACUUUUAUUUUGCUUUCGUGCCUAAGUCGUGACUCAAUCGUUUCAUAUUCGUGCUCAUUCAUUUCACGUUCGUGUCACGCGUCGUGUGUGUUGUGUUGUGACUUAAUCGUUUCAUCGUUAUCGUUCAUCGAUAAUCGUUUCGUGUUUGUGUCACGCGUUUUAAUCGUGUCUAUCGUAUCCCUUAUUUUGCUUUAGUGCAUUACUCGUGCUCAUUUAUUACGUGUCACGCGUCUAUCGUGACUCUUAUUUCGCUUUUGUGCUCGUGCUUUCGUGUCUUACUCGUAACUCGAUCGUUUCAUAGUCAAAUUUCGUGAUCGUGUCACACGUUUUCAUCACGUCUAUCGUGACUAAAUCAUUUCAUACUCGCUUUCGUGUCACGCGUCGUGAGUGUUGUGUUUGGCUGCUCACGGUGUCAUCUCUAGCUGUGCUGCGGGAUCCGUUGGGAUGACAGCCAAAGUGCUUUUUUUUUGUUGUGUUACAAAAUUUAAUAUGCUCAAUUCUUCGAAGUUUCUUCAAUAAUUUUUAAAGCUCAAACUGACCGAGUGAACUCAGCAUCGGUUGAUGCUAACUAACUGGAAUUUGAUUGGUUUCAGCUUGUGUCACUUUUUUUUGGUUUGAUGUGACCUUCGAUGCUUUCCAUCCUGAGUUCAAAGUGCAAAAAUGAAAGUUGACUGAAAUAAGGUUUUCAGAGCUCCAAUUCGAUUCGAAAACAACUAACUGCGUAGCUUUUGGCACUUGGAAUGUGAGAUUAAGUGUUAUUUGCAGCUGGCUUAAUUAAGCGGAUGCCAUCACAACUAAAAUGCAAUUUAUCGACUUGGGUGUUUAUGAUUUAUCGCCUGCCAUUUGGCAAUGAGAUGGAGACAAGAUGAGACGCGAUGAGACGGAGGCCGACUGAUGGGGAAAUUCAAAUGGCAUUUGGG